UACGUAGGGCGCAAGCGUUGUCCGGAAUUAUUGGGCGUAAAGAGCGUGUAGGCGGCCAAGCAGGUCCGCUGUGAAAACUCGAGGCUCAACCUCGAGACGUCGGUGGAAACCGUUUGGCUAGAGUCCGGAAGAGGAGAGUGGAAUUCCCGGUGUAGCGGUGAAAUGCGCAGAUAUCGGGAAGAACACCCGUGGCGAAGGCGGCUCUCUGGGACGGUACUGACGCUGAGACGCGAAAGCGUGGGGAGCGAACAGG
Molecule: ribosomal RNA, 253 nt
Filed under: uncultured bacterium
Lineage: Bacteria
Description: partial 16S ribosomal RNA
Rfam family: Bacterial small subunit ribosomal RNA
Source: RNAcentral